GCCCAGCCCGCGUCUCCGAGCCACUGCUCCCACCUCAGCCUGAGACGGACCUGCGCGCCGCGCACUGCGGGACACCUGCUGGCUCUCCCUUCAGGGAACAGCUGUGAGGGUGACACCAGCAGAGUGCUUCGACAGGGACGGCCGCAAACCGGCCUGACUAGAGGGCAGCAGGGAACUGGAAUGAAUAUCAGCCUUGUGAGAAGCCUGGGAGCUGCGAGUGUCCCGGAUGUGGAUUUGGACUGGCAGAAAGCAGGCCGUUUAAGAAGGAAGCGGCCUUCCCUGGCCCUACAAUGCUGUGCAAAACUGAAGAAGUCAAAGGCUUUGUCCUCAGUGGAGCAAAAGGGCUUGGUUGGACCCUUUCAAUCAAAGAGGAUGGGAGCCAUGUAAAAUCAGGAGCUGGAAAGUAAAGGCUGCCAUUCUUUCCAGGUCUGCCUGUUAAGAGCUUCUCUAAGUGACUGUACUUGAA
RNAcentral lists this long non-coding RNA (466 nucleotides) under Cavia porcellus (domestic guinea pig). RNAcentral describes it as "lncRNA (ENSCPOG00000032249.1)". Lineage: Eukaryota; Metazoa; Chordata; Mammalia; Rodentia; Caviidae. The record is from RNAcentral.